GACGAACGCUGGCGGCGUGCCUAAUACAUGCAAGUCGAAGCUAGUUGCGAACGGGUGAGUAAUGUCUCGGAACGUGCCCAGUAGCGGGGGAUAACUACGCGAAAGCGUAGCUAAUACCGCAUACUCUUGGAGCUGCCGAUAUCGGAUUAGCUAGUGGGUGGGGUAACGGCUCACCAAGGCGCCGAUCCGUAGCUGGGUUGAGAGGACGACCAGCCACACGGGGACUGAGACACGGUCCAGACUCCUACGGGAGGAAGCAGUGGGGAAUAUUGGACAAUGGGGGAAACCCUGAUCCAGCCAUCCCGCGUGUGCGAAGAAGGCCUUCGGGUUGUAAAGCACUUUUGGCAGGAAAGCGGUACCUGCAGAAUAAGCACCGGCUAACUACGUGCCAGCAGCCGCGGUAAUAC
Molecule: ribosomal RNA, 407 nt
Filed under: uncultured bacterium
Lineage: Bacteria
Description: partial 16S ribosomal RNA
Rfam family: Bacterial small subunit ribosomal RNA
Source: RNAcentral